Paramuricea clavata is the source of this 567-nucleotide non-coding RNA. Lineage: Eukaryota; Metazoa; Cnidaria; Anthozoa; Malacalcyonacea; Plexauridae. The record is from the annotation of a GenBank genome assembly.
GUCCCAGUUAUUGAAAUCCCAGUCAAUAAAGAAUCCUUUAUUUAUCGGUAGAAUAAACAGUUUUAAGACCUUUUAAGCAAGUGGCGGACACUUUAUGAAAUAUCAGGGGGGGGCUCGUGCCGAAGGCACGGAAAAUUUUUAAAUUUGAAUCCCAGAAAUGGCAUUUGCAGCAUUCUGAGACACGCAUAAUCAGAAAACCCAGAAUUCCGGGCGCCAGAGUAUGCCUGUUCGCAGGUAGUGCUGUGAAUAAUAUAGUUAACAACAAAAAUCGUGACCAAAGACACCAAAAACGGAUCAAAAUUGUAUUUUAAAAUACUCAAAACGCAGAAAAAUUGGGAAUCGACUCGCAUUACCUCAUUCCCAUUUUUGAGGACUUCAUUUCCCAUUCCCAGUGGCCAAAUCCCAGUCCCAGCAACCCAAAUCCAUUUUCCCAGUCUAAAAAUAGAUCAAUCCCAGUUCCCAUUUUACCCCUUCAGGAACCUCUUAGCACCCUCGGUAAAUCCACUGUAAAUGAGCGAUGGCAUUCGAGUCACAACGUCGACGCUUUGAAAACUGUUAUAUUAUGUU